This 141-nucleotide ribosomal RNA is filed under the name Pteronarcys californica. RNAcentral's name for it is "partial 12S ribosomal RNA". Lineage: Eukaryota; Metazoa; Arthropoda; Insecta; Plecoptera; Pteronarcyidae. The record is from RNAcentral.
CACGAAGGGUGCAAGUGAAUAUUGUUAGUGUAUAGUUAAGUGAUAUAUGAGGAAGGUAAAAAUGAAUUUAUUAGGUGAAAUUUUAAAUUUGAAUAACUUCUUUAAAGGUUGUUGAAGCUGUGAAAUUUAAAGAUUAAACUA